AGCUUCCCGGGUGGUCGUCCGGCCAGGCCAGGCCGCGCAUUUCGCAGCUGGGAAGAAGCCCUCGCUCAGCUCAGACGCCGAGUCGGAGAACCCGCAUUAGGGUUUUCCCAGAACCCCCACCAGAUCUGCGAGCAGGCGAAGGCCGAGGACGAGAGAGAGAGAGAGAGAGAGAGAGAGAGAUCAGCGCUUCAGAUUCCGAAGGAGACGAAGAGGGCGGGGUCGCAGAGGGGAGGAGGGCGAGGAUAGGUGUGGGAUUUGCUUUGGGGAGAGCUUUUGCUUUGGGCUUCUCAGCUUUGGCCGAUGCAGUGGAGAGAGAGACAGAGAGAGAGAGAGAGAGAGAAAGUGAGAGGGGGGUUGGCUGUGUGUGUGA
Molecule: long non-coding RNA, 370 nt
Filed under: Ananas comosus (pineapple)
Lineage: Eukaryota; Viridiplantae; Streptophyta; Magnoliopsida; Poales; Bromeliaceae
Description: long non-coding RNA (ACOM_LNC000693)
Source: RNAcentral